Rosa chinensis is the source of this 332-nucleotide long non-coding RNA. RefSeq lists it as uncharacterized. The record is from RefSeq and is a predicted model, not a curated record. The transcript is spliced from 3 exons. Lineage: Eukaryota; Viridiplantae; Streptophyta; Magnoliopsida; Rosales; Rosaceae.
UUGAGAUAAAGUUUAGAUUUUUUUUCUUGUUCUAAAGUUGGUUUUGGUUUUCGAGUUGCAGGGAGGAAUCGAUCAAAGUUCUAACAACAACAAUUCUGGGUCGAAAUUUGCUUCUGAUUCUAAAAGUGGGUCUUGAAAGAAAAUCGAAUGUCAAUGCUGUAGGAUACCAUUACCCUUUUGUUAAACUUCAGUUGGGUUGUUGUUUUGCCAUGUGGUUCCCGUAAACCUACCAAGCCUUACAAGUUGGAGCUUGCAAUAUAUUCUAGUAUGGAGGAUGUGAGGAGGAUUCCCUCGAGGAGGGUUCGGAUCGACGGCAGGCUUAGCCGUACACU